This 147-nucleotide small nuclear RNA is filed under the name Anolis carolinensis (green anole). RNAcentral describes it as "U1 spliceosomal RNA (ENSACAG00000018354.2)". It matches the Rfam family "U1 spliceosomal RNA". Rfam says of the family: U1 is a small nuclear RNA (snRNA) component of the spliceosome (involved in pre-mRNA splicing). Its 5' end forms complementary base pairs with the 5' splice junction, thus defining the 5' donor site of an intron. Lineage: Eukaryota; Metazoa; Chordata; Lepidosauria; Squamata; Anolidae. The record is from RNAcentral.
AUAAAUAAAUAAAUAAAUAAAUAACCAUGAUCACAAAGGUGGUUUUCUAGGAGGCUCCUCCAGUGCUGACUCCUCUUAUUUACCCAAAUGUGGGAAACUUGACUAUAUAAUUUAUGGAAGUGGGGGGCUGUGUUUGUGCAUUCAGUG